UUGGUUAAGUUAGAAAGGGCGCACGGUGGAUGCCUUGGCACUAGGAGCCGAAGAAGGACGGGACUAACACCGAUAUGCUUUGGGGAGCUGUACGUAAGCGUUGAUCCAGAGAUUUCCGAAUGGGGGAACCCACUAUCUUUAGUCGGAUAGUAUCCUUACGUGAAUACAUAGCGUAAGGAAGGCAGACCCAGGGAACUGAAACAUCUAAGUACCUGGAGGAAGAGAAAGAAAAAUCGAUUUCCUGAGUAGCGGCGAGCGAAACGGAAAGAGCCCAAACCAAGAAGCUUGCUUCUUGGGGUUGUAGGACACUCUAUACGGAGUUACAAAAGAAAGUUAUAAAUGAAGCGGUCUGGAAAGGCCCGCCAAAGACGGUAACAGCCCGGUAGUUGAAAUGGCUUUCCCUCCAGAGUGGAUCCUGAGUACGGCGGAACACGUGAAAUUCCGUCGGAAUCCGGGAGGACCAUCUCCCAAGGCUAAAUACUCCCUAGUGACCGAUAGUGAACCAGUACCGUGAGGGAAAGGUGAAAAGCACCCCGGAAGGGGAGUGAAACAGUUCCUGAAACCGUGUGCCUACAAGUAGUUAGAGCCCGUUAAUGGGUGAUAGCGUGCCUUUUGUAGAAUGAACCGGCGAGUUACGAUUUGUUGCAAGGUUAAGCGGAAAAAGCGGAGCCGUAGCGAAAGCGAGUCUGAAUAGGGCGCAUAAGUAACAGGUCGUAGACCCGAAACCAGGUGAUCUACCCAUGUCCAGGAUGAAGGUAAGGUAAUACUUACUGGAGGUCCGAACCCACGCACGUUGAAAAGUGCGGGGAUGAGGUGUGGGUAGCGGAGAAAUUCCAAUCGAACUUGGAGAUAGCUGGUUCUCUCCGAAAUAGCUUUAGGGCUAGCCUCGAGGUAAAGAGUCAUGGAGGUAGAGCACUGUUUGGACUAGGGGCCCUUCUCGGGUUACCGAAUUCAGAUAAACUCCGAAUGCCAUGUACUUAUACUCGGGAGUCAGACUGCGAGUGAUAAGAUCCGUAGUCGAAAGGGAAACAGCCCAGACCACCAGUUAAGGUCCCCAAAUAUAUGUUAAGUGGAAAAGGAUGUGGGGUUGCUUAGACAACCAGGAUGUUGGCUUAGAAGCAGCCACCAUUGAAAGAGUGCGUAAUAGCUCACUGGUCGAGUGACCCCGCGCCGAAAAUGUACCGGGGCUAAACAUAUUACCGAAACUGUGGAUGAACCUCAUUAGAGGUUCGUGGUAGGAGAGCGUUCUAAGGGCGGUGAAGUCAGACCGGAAGGACUGGUGGAGCGCUUAGAAGUGAGAAUGCCGGUAUGAGUAGCGAAAGAAGGGUGAGAAUCCCUUCCACCGAAUAUCUAAGGUUUCCUGAGGAAGGCUCGUCCGCUCAGGGUUAGUCGGGACCUAAGCCGAGGCCGAUAGGCGUAGGCGAUGGACAACAGGUAGAGAUUCCUGUACCAGUGCUAAUUGUUUAACCGAUGGGGUGACACAGAAGGAUAGGGAAUCGCACGAAUGGAAAUGUGCGUCCAAGCAGUGAGUGUGAG
RNAcentral lists this ribosomal RNA (1536 nucleotides) under Listeria monocytogenes. Its description in RNAcentral is "bacterial LSU rRNA". It matches the Rfam family "Bacterial large subunit ribosomal RNA", at positions 1 to 1529 of the family's 2925-position model. The record is from RNAcentral. Lineage: Bacteria; Bacillati; Bacillota; Bacilli; Caryophanales; Listeriaceae.